AAUUGUUGGUUUCUUCUAUUAUUUGAUGAAACACAGCAGGUCUAUUCUAUUGAGCUUGAAGGUAAUUUGUCCGUCACAAAGUUUGUCCCAAGGAAUUUUUUCUGAAUUCUCAAUUUCACAAAAUUAAGAAUAAUUUUGAGAUAAUCAAACGAACUGUUCACCAAUCCGAUUGAAUACACUCAAACGAACAAAUUGGUAGUUCAGAGUUCUUCAAAAUUUCCAUUACAUCGAUCAGAAUCCAUUGAUUUCUUCAUCAUAUCUAUAGAAAAAGCAGAGAAAUUUCAUAAGAUACUUUUAAGGAGAUUAUUACAAUUCUUAUACCCAUUGCAUUGAUGCUGAUGCUUGAUGGGAAUGGUGAAGAUACAUUAUUGGCCGAUUGUGAAGUUAAUCUGAAGAACCUCAAUUUGCUGGGAAUGGAGUUGAUGUUUUAGUUCACGACUCUACUACUGCUAAACAACUUCUGGUAUUCGUAUUAAUCUUUAAAUUUGUUAUUUCAUUUGUAGAGUUACAAGGAACCGUCAUAUGUCUUUUGCAUCAGGUAAUGUAUUUUGACUUUACAGUUGAAUAAAAAAGUGGUAUUUUCUGUUAUGUACUACUAAACUAUGCAUCAUAUUAAACUUCGUUUUAGUUACCCAAUCUGGAAGUAACUUUUGUUGUUUUCAAUUGUCGAUGGGCGAUUCAUUGGCCUUGUAGUUUACUAACUAUUUUCUUGUGAUGAAAACUGAAGGGCUAAAUUUACAUUUUGUUUGCAGUCUGAAGUCACUGCUCUAAAGAUCUACACCCACGGCAGGAGAAAAUGGUGUUGUAGAAAAUGGUUGUUCAGUCCCUGAAGCUGCUGCUUCAAGGGUGGAAGCUUUUUCAAGACUCUUAACUUCUUCCAAUUUUUGUUAGACUACAAAGAUUCAAGACAGUUCAGGGUCUUUCCGUUGGGAUCCUUUUUUUGCGCUGCAGAAAUCUGACACCUUCUUAACCAUGUUUUUGCUGCUGUCAUGUCGUUGGUUGAUCUAGUGGAAGGAAAUCUUGAUAACAUUAUCGCACAUCUUCUGUGGUUCGUAUGCUAGCGGAAUGUGUUGGACUUCUUUGGUUUGAGACCUGGGGAACAUGGGCAUUGUUGGGAAUGAGGCUUGACAUGAUUUAUCAGGAGGUAUUAUAUACCCGUAAAACCUUACAUGUAUAAACAGUGGUAUGAUAAAUGUGCAAGAAAUUUAUAGGUGACUUGGGUUUCGCACAAUUUUAUGAGCAGUGUCAAGCAGAAAAUGGAGUGCAUACCAUGUAAGAGUUUGAUGGAAUUGUCCAACAUUUGUUUCUUCGUCGGCCUCCCACUGCUGCAGCAGUCAUCUAGUUAUGUUUACUUGUGAAUUUCUGAUUUUUCUUUUGUUUGUUUCCCUUUUUGGUAAGGGGAUGGGACAGAGAUAACAAUCGUUGUUGUGCAACAUCAUUUCCUUCAAUUGGCUUGAGCUGCGAAUGUUUUCAAGGUUUAACAAAACUGAACUUUUGUGUUUCCGUUGUUGGUUCCUUUUCACUAUGUGGUUCGCUUUUGAUAAAUUAGUUCAUCACUCUAACAAUGCUUACUGAGGAUAAUGUUCCAUGAAAAUAUUUUGAAUUCUAACUAAUUUCAAUUCAAACUGUUAUGAGAAGUUGGGAACAGGGCUGAGCAUAUCUUAUUAAAAAUUAAUCCAUUCUUGAUGGCUACAUUUCCCCUUCUGUCAUGUGGAUAUUUUUGUAGUUCAUAUCAAGAGGUAUGUCUAACUACAUUCCUCAUAUCUUCUCCAUUCCUCACAAAAGUAUACCUAUUGCUAGACAAGAUUUUAUGUGGUUCUGUACAAGUCCUAAUAAAAGAAGUUACAUGUACAAGCCCUUGUUGAUUUUAUAUGGUUGUGUACAAGUCCUCAGAUAAAAAAAGUUACCUGUACAAGUUAGCAGCAGCAAAGGCGUUGUAACAAAUCCAUUUGUGCGUUUAUAUUUUCCUUCUUUUCAAAUUUGCAGUUUUGAGUUGUUGCUUUGCUUUAUCUUUUACUAUAAUCUCACAAGUCUUAUAUUAAUACUAAAUUAAUUGAGGACAUUAUGAAAAUCAUAAAGAGGACACACUCGUUGAGGAAAGCUGGAUAAAAUUCUUGUGAAAAUGGGUAUAUACACAUUCACCAGCUAGUCUUUUGUUUUUCACUCAUAAUCAGUGUACUCGUACUACGUUAAUGAUCCAUAUAUGUUUAAAUGGUACAAAAAAAAAUAUUAAAAGAAUCUAGUUCCUAGGCCUCUUGCAGUUAGCGCUGAUUGGUGGUUCUGCUAGUUGUUAGAAUUUUUAUUAGGAAUGAAAAACAAGAUCCAGCAAAGAACUGAAUAUUUGUUUGAAUGAAGUGCUAUUGUAGAAGCGAAGUUCCUAACUAUUUAAACAGAAUAAACCACCCUUGGAACAAUUUCUAGAUCUAAAUCACUUUCUAAAUGCUGUGUCAGGUAAUGGAACAUGUUGUUGGAGUUCUUGCAGGCUUGUUAAAAGGUGGGGAUGAGUAACUGGUCAGUGAAUUCCGUAGUAAAGCAUGAAGCCUUCACUAUUUCAAAAGAAGGAAAGGAAGAGGAAGACCUUCGUUAACAUCUGCAGAUGUAGACCCCUCUGCUGCACCACAUCCUAAAUAGUAUAUGGAUCCGUUAGUGAUUCGCAUUGCUGGGCUGUAAAAGAAUGCAAGGAAAGGAUAUAGUCGUGUGGUUAGGUAUAUGCACUGAUGGACCAGGUCACUAUUAAGACAAUUGUAAUUAAGUUAAUUGUCAUGGAGUGAUGGUCUAAACUGCGUUGUGAUGGUAUGAUAUUGUAAAUUAUAGUGCAAAUGCAAUCUUCGUUUCCGUUGGUUUUCAGCAACUCUUAUACUUGUAGCUUAUACACUUCUUUGACUUGUACCCACUUUCAAUGAAUACAAUGGUUUUUG
This is an RNA transcript of Papaver somniferum (opium poppy), 2918 nucleotides long. RefSeq lists it as uncharacterized. The record is from RefSeq and is a predicted model, not a curated record. The transcript has 4 exons. Lineage: Eukaryota; Viridiplantae; Streptophyta; Magnoliopsida; Ranunculales; Papaveraceae.